Molecule: ribosomal RNA, 393 nt
Filed under: uncultured bacterium
Lineage: Bacteria
Description: partial 16S ribosomal RNA
Rfam family: Bacterial small subunit ribosomal RNA
Source: RNAcentral
CACGUAGGGGGCGAGCGUUAUCCGGAAUUACUGGGCGUAAAGAGUGCGUAGGUGGCUUUGCAAGCGUAGGGUAUAAGGCGACAGCCCAACUGUCGUUGGCCCCGCGAACUGUAAGGCUUGAGUACAGGAGGGGAAGGCGGAAUUCCUAGUGUAGCGGUGAAAUGCGUAGAUAUUAGGAGGAACACCAGUGGCGAAGGCGGCCUUCUGGACUGUAACUGACACUGAGGCACGAAAGCGUGGGUAGCAAACAGGAUUAGAUACCCUGGUAGUCCACGCCGUAAACGAUGAGCACUAGGUGUCGGGCUCGCAAGAGUUCGGUGCCGGAGCAAACGCAUUAAGUGCUCCGCCUGGGGAGUACGCACGCAAGUGUGAAACUCAAAUGAAUUGACGGGG